GGUAGUUGGGGCGUGCGUCGCGUAGCCGGCCCUGCGAAUAUGGCGUCAGCUUCGGCUUCCGGUCUGAGGGCGCCGAGAGCCCAGCCAAACUCUGCGGACGGCCAUUCCUGGGAUGUGACCACAUAACGGUCAGGCAAGAAGAUGACUGAAUUUAUCUUCUUGGAAUCAUUGCUUCAUAAUUGUUGCUUCCCACCAUUGGCAUUGGAGAAAGGCUGGGCCACAGGAGGCCAGAUGAACUUUGUGUUGGCCAGCGUUUCAUGCCCCAGUGACCCAAGACAGGGUGAGGCGAAGGGGAAGGUUCGGCGGCGCGUGUCCCACAGGUUCAGGGGAGUGCCGGUGCGCCCGGUAGAGGUGGCCCUGCGCGCUUGCCGGACACCGCUUCCGGGACGCGCCCGGGGCUACCCCGCGGCAGAGGUGUGUGCGGCUCCGCGCAGGCUCGCUGAGGAGCUCGGCUUCGCAGACGGAGCAGGCGGACUCGCCGGGAUCCCAGCGCGCUGAAGCAGCCCGCCUCCCCUCGCCCUGCCCUGGCCAGGCUCAGAGGGAAAACCUUCUCAAUUAAAAAGCCACACCUCGUUGCCCCUGCGCUGCAGGCGCCGGGUUGGCUGUGCGCGGCUGGGCGCGGGCUCGCUGAGGAGGUCGGCUUCGCGGACCGAGCGGGCGGCGGCCAGGUGGGAGCUGCAGCGCGUUGAAGCAGCCCUGCGCCCUGGCCAGUGCAUCCAGGAUCCGGAGCAGCCAGGGGCCUGGCCACUCCCACCCAGAGCCCUGCCUUGGCUGAGCUGGUUACUGCUGCGUCUCCCGGGCUGCUGGCAUGCCGGUUAUCAGCAGUGCACAGGUGUCUCUGGCUGUGCCCUGGGGCGUGCUCACGUCCCGAUCUCCUGGGAGGCUGGCCCCUCUGCCCCAGUGGCCGCCUUCCUGGAGGAGACUGGCCUGUUCCCACCUCUCCUGACUCCCAGAGCGGUGGCUGGUGUGGGAAGUCCUGCUUCCUCCCCUUGGUGUCUGCCCUUGUCCAUGGGCUGUUUUCUCCCAGUGCUGAUGUCUCCCCAGCUAGAAGAGGAGACCCUCAAAGGCGCACAGAGCUUCGCGGUGUUCCUGAUUCACACCGAGAGGAAGAAGGGAGUCCAGUCAUCUGCAGUGCUGUUUGGGUACUGGCUUCUCUGCUUUGUGUUGCCAGCUGCCAGCGCCGCCCAGCAGGCCUCUGGAGGGGGCUUCCAGAGUGACCCAGUGUGCCACCUGUCCACCUAUCUGUGCUUGUCUCUAGUGGUGGCACAGUUUGUGCUGUCCUGCCUUGCGGAUCAACCUUCCUUCUAACCUAAAGACCGUCAGCAGUCUGAAAGUCACCAAGUUCCAACCUCAUUCCUGUUCCACUUUGAGGUCUUAGUCUCCCUCAUGUGACCUAAAGUCUAAUUUUUUAUUCAUUUAUCCACUCAGCAAACUGUGAAUUGCAUUUUUACUCGAUGCCACCAUUGGUAGACUUUUUCUGUAUGGGGCAAGAGACUCUGUGAGCCAUACAGUGAUCUCUGCGGCAACUCCUCAACUCUGCCACUGAAGACAAAAGCAGAAUAUGUCAACAAAUUGCAUGGCUGUGUUGCAAUAAAACUUUAUUUGCAGCAACAGGCAGUGGGCCAGAUUUGGUCAUAGUUUGCAGACCCCGCUCUAUCCCCCAGCAAAGGCUUAAGAAUCUAUGGUGAACAAGCAGAGUUCCUGCUCUCAUGUAGCUAGUGGUCAAGUACGGGAACCAGAAAUUACUCACAUAAUUAAAUAUGUUGAAAAUUGGCUGGGCACGGUGGCUCAUGCCUGUAAUCCCAACACUUUGGAGGUCAAGGCAAGUGGAUCACCUGAGGUCGAGAGUUCAGGACCAGCCUGGCCAGCAUGGUAAAACCAGUCUACUAAAAUUACAAAAGUUAGUCGGGCAUGAUAGCACACGCCUGUAAUCCCAGCUUCUUGGGAGGCUGAGGCAGGUGAAUCCUAGAGGUGGAGGUGGAGUGAGCUGAGAUUGCACCAUUGCACUCUAGCCUGGGUGACAAAGAGCAAAAUUCCAUCUCAAAAAAAAAAAAAAAAAAAAAAAAAGAAAGAAAAGAAAAUUACCCCUGGGGUAAGUGCUCUGUAGGAGAAGUUCAUGAGAGUUUUACAACAGGUAACACUGAAGCAAUCUGUGAAAUCAAGAAAUAAUUCUUUUGAGAAAGAGACUGAUCUGACAUCAGAUAAACAGAUGUUCAGAUGGACCGGGUGCAGUGAGCAUGCCUCUAAUCUCGGCACUUUGGGAGGCCGCGGAAGGAGGCUGCUUGAGCCCAGGUUCUAGAUCAGACUAGGCAAUGUAGCGAGACUCCACCUCUACAAAAAGUUUAAAAAAAAU
Saimiri boliviensis boliviensis (Bolivian squirrel monkey) is the source of this 2353-nucleotide long non-coding RNA. Lineage: Eukaryota; Metazoa; Chordata; Mammalia; Primates; Cebidae. The record is from Ensembl.